GAUUAAAAAAAAAAAAAUGAAAUGUUUGCCAUUCUCCUUAACUCCACCAUUAAUCCAAUCUUUAAGCUACGCCCACCUUCCAUCUCAUUUACUGGGUAUCAUUAUCGGCAGAUGUAACGGCUUGGAGCUCGACCUAUAAAUGGCUCUUUUGGGAUCGAUCAAGACCUACAUCGGUUAACGCAUAACCAUCAAAUAUGUCUAAUUCAAACGUUCUUCUCGCCAAUUUAAAAGCCGGCUGUCUGGUAAGGUUCUGGGAGCUAGAAAGGUGGAGAGUUAAUGAUUGGGACAUGGUCUUGAGUCAACUCUUAUCCAAGAGAUCAUCCAUGGCAGUCAGUCGCCUCAAUACUUUCCGGCGUCAUCUCGGUGAAGGUUCUGUGUAAUUCGCUCAGUGGAUUUGAUGUCACACGGAGCCAAAUUUGAAAGGCACGGCUCAAAGCCAAAUUUGAAACUGAUAAUGUACGCCCUGAAGUGUUAACGUAAGUUGCAAAGAGGAUCCUCAUCAUUCACUUGCGCAGCAGGCAAUGAUGAGAACGCCGUCGGAGUUGUAAGGUAAUACAUUUUUAAUACACUAUCAACCAUUAUUCGCAGUUCAUCUGAUACGGCUGUCUUUGUGUCAUUCGACACUGCAAUGGCUCAACUUACGAAUGUUCGAGCUGCAGAAGUAUCCCAACUCACUUGAUUGCUGACUCAUCUAAUAUCACCGCCUAAGCUGUUAAAAGUAAAUUCCUCUCAUGGUCUAAACAAGGGUGCCUUGCCGACAGUGCUGGGUUCGCUACUUCUGGAAUGAUAAGAGGGAGCUACAGCCUCAAUAGACGUGGUGCAUAAUGAACUUUUACACGGUGUUAUAAAACUACAGAUGGUCACCCACUUCGAGGAUGGGCGCGGCAGAAAAAUGCAUGUAAUGCUUAACUUCCCACCUGGUAGUUGUAUGUUCGUUUAAUAACUUCGAAAGCUUUUGCCUUGACAUUUUUAAUAAUAUUUACCUUUCAUUA
Long non-coding RNA from Brassica oleracea var. oleracea, 992 nucleotides. RefSeq lists it as uncharacterized. The record is from RefSeq and is a predicted model, not a curated record. Lineage: Eukaryota; Viridiplantae; Streptophyta; Magnoliopsida; Brassicales; Brassicaceae. The transcript has 2 exons.